GAAGAAACAGCAAGAGCGAAGGCUCUGAGGCAGGAGCAAGCAAGCCAGACAUGGACCAGGAAAAGCAAGGUUUGAAUUCGUACCUUACUCUUACUAGCUAUGACCCACUAUGGGUAAGUUAUUUACUCUGUAAACCUCAGUUUCCAUAUUAUUAAAAUAGAAACAUUACACCACAUGCC
RNAcentral lists this long non-coding RNA (179 nucleotides) under Mustela putorius furo (domestic ferret). Its description in RNAcentral is "lncRNA (ENSMPUG00000031743.1)". The record is from RNAcentral. Lineage: Eukaryota; Metazoa; Chordata; Mammalia; Carnivora; Mustelidae.